Molecule: ribosomal RNA, 460 nt
Filed under: uncultured bacterium
Lineage: Bacteria
Description: partial 16S ribosomal RNA
Rfam family: Bacterial small subunit ribosomal RNA
Source: RNAcentral
CCUACGGGUGGCAGCAGUGAGGAAUAUUGGUCAAUGGACGAGAGUCUGAACCAGCCAAGUAGCGUGAAGGAUGACUGCCCUAUGGGUUGUAAACUUCUUUUAUAUGGGAAUAAAAUGUUCCACGUGUGGGAUUUUGUAUGUACCAUAUGAAUAAGGAUCGGCUAACUCCGUGCCAGCAGCCGCGGUAAUACGGAGGAUCCGAGCGUUAUCCGGAUUUAUUGGGUUUAAAGGGAGCGUAGGUGGUUUGUUAAGUCAGUUGUGAAAGUUUGCGGCUCAACCGUAAAAUUGCAGUUGAGACUGGCAGUCUUGAGUGCAGUAGAGGUGGGCGGAAUGCGUGGUGUAGCGGUGAAAUGCUUAGAUAUCACGAAGAACUCCGAUUGCGAAGGCAGUUCACUAGACUGCAACUGACACUGAGGCUCGAAAGUGUGGGUAUCAAACAGGAUUAGAUACCCCUGUAGUC